CCGCCGGCGACCGGCGCACGGGUGAGUAACACGUAUGCAACCUGGCCGUGACAGAUGGAUAACCGGGAGAAAUCCCGCCUAAUACAACAUAAUGCCGGGAGGGGACAUCCCCUGCCGGUCAAAGGGGGCGACCCCGGUCAUGGAUGGGCAUGCGGCGCAUUAGGUAGUUGGUGGGGCAACGGCCCACCAAGCCGACGAUGCGUAGGGGUUCUAAGAGGAAGGUCCCCCACAUUGGAACUGAGACACGGUCCAAACUCCUACGGGAGGCAGCAG
RNAcentral lists this ribosomal RNA (273 nucleotides) under uncultured bacterium. RNAcentral describes it as "partial 16S ribosomal RNA". It matches the Rfam family "Bacterial small subunit ribosomal RNA", at positions 85 to 354 of the family's 1533-position model. The record is from RNAcentral.